RNAcentral lists this ribosomal RNA (248 nucleotides) under Ceratocystiopsis parva. RNAcentral's name for it is "ribosomal RNA large subunit". It matches the Rfam family "Eukaryotic large subunit ribosomal RNA", at positions 101 to 347 of the family's 3401-position model. Lineage: Eukaryota; Fungi; Ascomycota; Sordariomycetes; Ophiostomatales; Ophiostomataceae. The record is from RNAcentral.
GCAACAGCUCAAAUUUGAAAUCUGGCCCCCCUUGGGGUCCGAGUUGUAAUUUGGAGAGGAUGUUUCUGGCGCGGCGCCUUCCGGAGUUCCUUGGAACAGGACGCCACAGAGGGUGAGAGCCCCGUACGGUCGGCCGCCUAGCCUCCACGAAACUCCUUCGACGAGUCGAGUAGUUUGGGAAUGCUGCUCAAAAUGGGAGGUAAAUUUCUUCUAAAGCUAAAUACUGGCCAGAGACCGAUAGCGCACAA